This 444-nucleotide ribosomal RNA is filed under the name uncultured bacterium. RNAcentral describes it as "partial 16S ribosomal RNA". It matches the Rfam family "Bacterial small subunit ribosomal RNA", at positions 339 to 795 of the family's 1533-position model. The record is from RNAcentral.
CUACGGGACGCACCAGUGGGGAAUAUUGCACAAUGGGCGCAAGCCUGAUGCAGCAACGCCGCGUGAGGGAUGAAGGCCUUCGGGUUGUAAACCUCUUUUAGCAGGGAAGAAGCGAAAGUGACGGUACCUGCAGAAAAAGCACCGGCUAACUACGUGCCAGCAGCCGCGGUAAUACGUAGGGUGCAAGCGUUGUCCGGAACUAUUGGGCGUAAAGAGCUCGUAGGCGGUUUGUCACGUCUGCUGUGAAAAUCCAAGGCUCAACCUUGGACUUGCAGUGGGUACGGGCAGGCUAGAGUGCGGUAGGGGAGAUGGGAAUUCCUGGUGUAGCGGUGGAAUGCGCAGAUAUCAGGAGGAACACCAAUGGCGAAGGCACAUCUCUGGGCCGUAACUGACGCUGAGGAGCGAAAGCGUGGGGAGCGAACAGGAUUAGAUACCCUCGUAGUC